CAUAGCUCUGGCAAAACUAGAGCUGCAGAAGUUCUAGCUGGGGAGGUCAUCUGCUCAGGUGUCCACAUGUCAGUUUCAGGGGAGGGUUCUUGUUGGUCACAUUUGGCCCCUUGCUGUUGUUGGGGAGAGGGUAGGGCCCCUCCUGUAACUAGGUGGGGAGGGGUGCCCUAGAAGCAGUUAGCAGAAGAGCAGAUGGAAAGAUUGCCCCAUUAUCUCCCACAUCUGGCUACUUCCAAGAGCCCAUGAGGAGUCUGGGCCAGCCGCUAGCCCAGCCCAGGGCCUGGCUCCGUGAUCUCCAGCAUCGGGUGUCGCUCUUACAAGCCAGGACUGGGAGGCUGGAUGCCUGGCCAAGUCACAUUCCUUUUUGGGCCUCAGUGUGGCUGUCCGUGAAAUGGGAGCAAAUCUCUGACAAUCAGCUAGUAUUAGGUGAGCUAAGAAGCCAAGUGGCCACUUGUUCUCAUCAGCGAGUCCAGACGCACAGGCAUUUGCAUGAGCUCUAUGAUAACUUCCCUGGCAGCUUUUGGUAAGGAAUUCCGUAAGAAGCUACUUGGGAGGCUGAGGCAGGUUGAGCCCAGGAGCUUGAAGUUACAGUGAGCCAUGAUUGUGCCACUGCAUUCCAGCCUGGGCAACAGAGCGAGACUCUGUCUCUUAAAAAAAAAAAUUCCAUAAAAGUUAUAUACACACGUGUGCACAUGCGUGUGUGUGUGUGACAUCUCUUCCUAGUGAUGUUCCCCCUGACCUGGCCAACAGCCCUGAUUCUGUCCUCCAAACCUGAUGCUGGCUGGCUUCCAAUAGCCUGGCUCAUUGCUAUUCUACACCAGCCCCUCUCUGCCCUCAAUUCAGCCCCUCCACUGCAGUGUCAGAAUUGAGCCUCAAAAUGCAGCCUGCUACAGCCUCUGCAGGGGUCUCCAUGCUUCCAAGCCUGCUUGAAACUUUCUUUAUGGCAGGCAUGGGGAGGGGGGAGGGCAGGCCGUGUGUGGCUGUCACCAGACCUGGCUGCCUUGGGCCUGGCUGCUUUGGGCCGAGCCUUUGCAUCCCUAGUGGGUCCUCACGGCUGCCCAUAAACCCAGCAGGGUAAAAUUCUUCGUUUUGUCAUACUGAGCAGCCAGCAUGCUUAACCAGCAGGCAGGGAAGGGUCUGGCAAGCCCACCUCCCCUGCUGUGUGUGGGAUGGAGUGGGGUUGUCUAGAGCCAGGAGACCUGAGCUUUGGUUUACAUGAGGCCUUGAGCAAAGCAGUUCUUAUUUUUGAGGUUGCCCAUCAGUAAAAUGAGAGGCUGAAUUAACAGGACCAGACUAUUCCAGCACCCUUGACAGACACAUCACCACCAGUUGAUGGAUUGUGAGGAAUGCUCUAUGUUCAGGCAGAUCAUGCAUUUUUCCAAGCCUCAGUUUUCUUAUCUGUUAGCAUGAUCCUCACAAGGAUGGGGCAGGGCUGCAAUGAAGACAGGGACAGGGAUGGCCGAGCCCAAAGGCCUUGGUCACCAGCAUAGCCCAAGCGUCUGCUAGGUGAUGCACUAAGCUGCCCAGCACUCUGCCAGUUCUACCCUCUCUGUGUCCCCUGACCAGGAGAAGGCAGCUGUUGACUCAAGGGAACAAGUUCCCUGGGGCUCAGAGGAGCUGGCAGAGAGGUUAAUUGGGGUGUGGGGCCACCUGCUGGUCACCUGGGUGAGUAUUCAGUGGGCACCUACUGUGUGCCAUAGCCUGAAGGAGCUGUGGGGCAGGGGAGAGACCACAGCACCAUAAUGAAUAGCUGACACUUAUUGAGUGCCUACUGUGUGCCAGGACUGUGCUAAAGCUUUACAUGGAUCAUCUCACUUAGUCCUCACUUUCUCAUCUUACAGGUAGAGAAACUGAGUCCCAAGCUCUUAGCCGCUGCUCUCUGUGCUAGAGGAGGUCAAAGGAAGGAAAUGCUGUUUUUGGCUAGGGGCAAUCACAGAAGACUUCCAAAAGGUGGUGACAAUAUGAACUCAAAGGGAAAGCCAGAUUUGGAUAGACAAACAUUUAGGGACUUAGCUGGCAGGUACACGGGGAGGCAAGGCAUUUUGUGUGAAGAAUGGAAAACAAGUCUAUUUACUGGGUGAGAGGCAGCCAUGGCACAGGGGUCUCUCAUUUCCUUGUCCCAUCUCCUGUAGGAAGUCAGAAUGGGGUGCUCAGGGAUGAGACAAUGGGCCCCUGGUAAUAGCUCCUCUCUCUUAGAGCCCCCAGGGUUCUCCCAUGGGUAGUGCAUUCCCCCUCCACAUGUGCACCUCUGGCUCCUCUGGAGAUACACUCAACCAAUGUGUCAGACAAUCUAUCCAUCCCCUCUUACUGCUCCAGCAUUUCUGGUUGAUUUCAGAGUUGGCUGUUAGAGUUGGGGCCAGAUCUUUUCACAUUGGACUCCCUGAACCCCCCAGGAUUUGGUGAAGGAGUCCUAGGACCCUCCACUUUUGCUUCCAACACAGCUAUUUUAUAGAUUGGUGUGCUGAGAUUUAAUUUGAACAAGUUUACAUGCAUUAAAAAAGUUUAUGGAGCACUGAGCUAGACAUUAACAAAACUGAUCUCAAAUUUUGCAAGGCAGGCAUUAAGAUCUCCAUUUUACAGAUGGGAAACCAAGACUCGGAGUAACUAAGUGGCUUCCCAAGGUUCAUGGCUGGUGAGGACAGGAGGCAGGGCUCUGACAUGGCAAAAUGGCUACAAGAUUGUCCUUUCUCCUAUGGUUCCUGCCCUCAGAGAGUCCAUACUUCAUGGGCACAGGCACCUGCUGGCAUUGUCUGGUGGGGCGUCACUGGUGCUGACAAAGGGAGCAGAGAUGACUGGGUGGUCGUGGGUGUCUUAGGCAGGCUUGCUUUCCCCUUUCUGGAGAGUUCACUCUGGACAGAGACAGUUGGGGCAAAGAGUGGGUGGUGGCAGCAGGGGAGGCACUGGGAAGCCUGCCUUAGCCUAUAAACCCUGCCCCAGUGUAGAGGCUGUGUAGAUAAAGCAGAUGACACCCCCAUUCCCAUUCCUGAUCUUGAUCUGUGUUCACAGCAAGCCACGGAGUAAUCAACCCUCAGACCUGGCAGAGAUGCUCUGUGUGGGAAUGAGGCAGGCCCCUCAGCCACCUCUUGAAGCAGCACCCCUAGUGCAGGGACUCUCCCCCAACCAGUCUCCCUUCCAGGUGAUGGGACCUUGACUCAUGGGUCAUGUUUCCCCCACAUGAGCUACUAGGGCUGGAUGGAGGGUCUCAGGGCCCACUGAAAAGGCCCAGGGGCUGAGGGGCUGGGCUCUUAGCUGUGGGCCUGGCCUGUUUGAGCCAUGCCUUGGAGCUCAUGUUUUAGCACCUAGCGUGUGCCAGACAUAUCUCGUACUUGACUUUGUUUACUUUUCUGUUCUUCCAGUAGCCCUCCCAGGCAGAGAUUAUGCCCACUUUGCAGAUGAAGUCACUGAAACUUGAAUAGUAGCAGAAGAAACUUCCCAGGUUCCUAUGAGUGGUGUGUGGCAGGACCAGGGUCUGAAGCUAGGGGCAUGGAGCCUCACAAUCCCCUUCCUAAUGGGAAGGCUAUCCCUGCCCAAAGAGUUCCAGUGUCAUCUGACCCCUUCCCUGAUCUGGUCUAGCUGGAGGAGAUGUCAUAAACCCAUUCCUCCUCUGCCCUGAUCUUCUAUGCCCCUGGAUGCCAGAGGAAGGAUUCUUGGGUGUGACCUUCUAUGGCCUCUGGUCCCUGAACUUGGGCAAGGAGUGCCUGGCACCUCUCAGGAUGCUUUAAAGUCAGAGUGCUUCCCUGCAGAGGAGACAGAUGUUGGGUCUGAGUCACACAGCUUGGGAUCCCCUUCUGACUCCACUCUGUGACCUUGGACAACUCUCUUAAUCUCUCUGAGCCCAUUUCCUCAUUAGAACAUAUGGAUAGCAAUGCCUGCCCCCCAGACUGUGAGACUGGGAGAGGUAAGGCAUGACAGUUUGCUGAGCUCCCAGCAUGUCAUAGGUCCUGAAAAAAUUCACGUCACAUAUGAGACCGUGUGGGGCAUGAUGGUGUUUAAGGAAGUAUUGAGUCACAGGUUAAAGCCUUUAGAAAGGAGGCUGACUUCCUGGGAGAAGCUGCAGUCAGAGCUCCUGUCUAACUGAGCCACCCACCUGCCCUUGAGGCCUCUCUCUCUCUCUCUGAAGGUUCCUGCCAGGCCAGGCCCUAGUAGGCUGUGCAGUGGGACUCGCCAGGGCUGCUAUGAAAGACAGGUGAAGCAGGGGAGGCUCUGCCCAGUGCCAUUAGGCAGGUCCAGAGAACCCCUCCUUACAGGAUCAGGAAGGGAGCCAGAGACUGUGGCUCCCUUUGUACCAGCUGGUGAGGGGAUGGACUGGCCCAGUGUGCCUCCUGUGGGCAGGUGUCUCUGUGCUGUUGGCUGAGCCAAGUUAAGCAGACAGGACUCCUUCUACAAUGAUGGAACCUACAGCCAAACAGUGGAGUGACAGACAGGGACAGAAGGGUUGGGGGGUGGGGAGUAUCUCUGAGAAGGGGACACUCAGCCAAGGAUGAAUGACAAGAAGUUGAUUAUAAGAAAAGAGAGGCUGGGCAUGGUGUCUCUUGCCUGUAAUCCCAGCACUUUGGGAGGCC
This 4562-nucleotide long non-coding RNA is filed under the name Homo sapiens (human). RNAcentral's name for it is "LHRI_LNC817.1". Lineage: Eukaryota; Metazoa; Chordata; Mammalia; Primates; Hominidae. The record is from RNAcentral.